This 451-nucleotide ribosomal RNA is filed under the name uncultured bacterium. RNAcentral's name for it is "bacterial SSU rRNA". It matches the Rfam family "Bacterial small subunit ribosomal RNA", at positions 354 to 796 of the family's 1533-position model. The record is from RNAcentral.
GUGGGGAAUAUUGGACAAUGGGGGGAACCCUGAUCCAGUCAUGCCGCGUGUGUGAAGAAGGCCUUUUGGUUGUAAAGCACUUUAAGCGAGGAGGAGGCUACCGAGAUUAAUACUCUUGGAUAGUGGACGUUACUCGCAGAAUAAGCACCGGCUAACUCUGUGCCAGCAGCCGCGGUAAUACAGAGGGUGCAAGCGUUAAUCGGAUUUACUGGGCGUAAAGCGCGCGUAGGUGGCCAAUUAAGUCAAAUGUGAAAUCCCCGAGCUUAACUUGGGAAUUGCAUUCGAUACUGGUUGGCUAGAGUAUGGGAGAGGAUGGUAGAAUUCCAGGUGUAGCGGUGAAAUGCGUAGAGAUCUGGAGGAAUACCGAUGGCGAAGGCAGCCAUCUGGCCUAAUACUGACACUGAGGUGCGAAAGCAUGGGGAGCAAACAGGAUUAGAUACCCGGGUAGUCC